GGAAACAUGCUGGUGAAGCAGUGCCCUGAAGGAUCAAACCCUCCUUUCAACAAGUGAUGAGUUGUGGGUUCAACCCUGCUGGGUUCAGGGGUCUGUUUCACCAACAUGAAGAA
Molecule: non-coding RNA, 113 nt
Organism: Podarcis lilfordi (Lilford's wall lizard)
Lineage: Eukaryota; Metazoa; Chordata; Lepidosauria; Squamata; Lacertidae
Source: the annotation of a GenBank genome assembly